UUCCUUCAGGCUCGCCUCUCUCCUCCGCCGUGAGAAUGAUCCUUCCGCC
RNAcentral lists this small RNA (49 nucleotides) under Arabidopsis thaliana (thale cress). RNAcentral describes it as "ATSL053890". The record is from RNAcentral. Lineage: Eukaryota; Viridiplantae; Streptophyta; Magnoliopsida; Brassicales; Brassicaceae.